ACACAUGCAAGUCGAACGGUGAAGAGAAGCUUGCUUCUCGGAUCAGUGGCGGACGGGUGAGUAACACGUGAGCAACCUGCCUUUAAGAGGGGGAUAACGUUUGGAAACGAACGCUAAUACCGCAUAACAUAGAAGAUUCGCAUGUUUCUUCUAUCAAAGAUUUAUCGCUUAAAGAUGGGCUCGCGUCUGAUUAGCUGGUUGGUGAGGUAACGGCUCACCAAGGCGACGAUCAGUAGCCGUACUGAGAGGUAGAACGGCCACAUUGGGACUGAGACACGGCCCAGACUCCUACGGGAGGCAGCAGUGGGGAAUAUUGCACAAUGGAGGGAACUCUGAUGCAGCGAUGCCGCGUGAGGGAAGAAGGUUUUAGGAUUGUAAACCUCUGUCUUCAGGGACGAUAAUGACGGUACCUGAGGAGGAAGCUCCGGCUAACUACGUGCCAGCAGCCGCGGUAAUACGUAGGGAGCGAGCGUUGUCCGGAAUUACUGGGUGUAAAGGGAGCGUAGGCGGGAUCUUAAGUCAGGUGUGAAAACUAUGGGCUCAACCCAUAGACUGCACUUGAAACUGAGGUUCUUGAGUGAAGUAGAGGCAGGCGGAAUUCCUAGUGUAGCGGUGAAAUGCGUAGAUAUUAGGAGGAACAUCAGUGGCGAAGGCGGCCUGCUGGGCUUUUACUGACGCUGAGGCUCGAAAGCGUGGGGAGCAAACAGGAUUAGAUACCCAGGUAGUCCACGCUGUAAACGAUGAUUACUAGGUGUGGGGGGACUGACCCCUUCCGUGCCGCAGUUAACACAAUAAGUAAUCCACCUGGGG
RNAcentral lists this ribosomal RNA (810 nucleotides) under uncultured bacterium. Its description in RNAcentral is "bacterial SSU rRNA". It matches the Rfam family "Bacterial small subunit ribosomal RNA", at positions 51 to 878 of the family's 1533-position model. The record is from RNAcentral.